UUAUUUUAUUUUAUUUCUUUCUUUCUUUCUUCCUUCCUUCCUUCCUUUCUUCCUUCCUUCCUUCCUUCCUUCCUUCCUUUCUUUUUUUGUUUUAAGGGUGGGCAGUUCGAGACAGGAUUUCUCUGUAUAGUUCUGACUGUCCUGGAACUCACUCUGUAGACCAGGCUGGCCUCAAACUCAGAAAUCCACCUGCUUCUGCCUCCCAAGUGCUGAGAUUAAAGGCGUGCACGACCACAGCCCAGCUAUUGUUUUCAAAACAGGGUUUCUCUGUGUAGCCCUGGCUGUCCAGGAAUUCACUCUAUAGACCAGGCUGGCUUAGAACUCAGAGAUCUGCUUGCCUCUGCACCCUGAGUGCUAGGACUAAAGGCAUACACUACCACUGCUUGACUCAAAUGCUGAUUUUUUUUAACUAACAAUACUUAAGAUAAAUUUUAGUUUAUACAACAGACACAUUUAUUUUCUUUUAAACACAUUUUUAUUAUUCAUACAAAAUUAUUGCAUUUACAUAAUUUACAUCAUUUUAACCCCACACUCUCCCCUCUCCGGUUCAUCCUAUGUGUCUCUCCAUUCUCUCUCAGCUUGAUGGGCUCUUAUUCUUUAAUUGUGAUAGAUAGAUAGAUAGAUAGAUAGAUAGAUAGAUAGAUAGAUAGAUAGAUAGAUCCUACUAAAUCAGUUUAAUAUAUAUAUCAGAGGGCUUGUCCCUGUAGAAAACCAAUUUUUCCCUAUCUUAGCAGUCAUUAAUUGCCUGUAGCUCUUUAUCUAGGGGUGAGGGGGUCUUACAAUAUUCCCCCUUUUACAAUCAAUAUGGUAACUGGCAUUGUCAUUGUUCAGGCCUUGUUUAGAAAAUAUUUAUUUUCUGUGUAUCAGGAUACAUUAUUUUUGAAUAUCAAUGUAACUGCUUGUAUGAUGCCAAUGUAAAUUUACUACAUUAGAUUAUUUGGGAUACCAGCAAGUCCUAGAGGAGGUGGUAGAGGGGGAAUUACUAUGAAUAAAAAUGAACCUAUCAAUAGUGAGUGAUAUUCAUUUUAUGCUGUCUUCUACAGAGACCAUGAAUACUAAAAACAAACGUUUCCAUGUUUCAAUAUUUUUCUUCUAAUUGUUUACACUUUUUCUGGCAGUAAACCAUAGAAAACUUUGUUAAUUUUUAUACUCUAACUCAAAGAAAGGCAGUCCAAUUGGCUUAUGUGUUAGCAUUAGUGAAAACUCUACCAAAAUAUUUUUCUUUUUAAACAAAAUUCACAUCCCAGAGAACUAUCCAACACAGUCUAACAUAAGUAUACACUAAUUCAAUAAUUAGACCUAAAAAUGAAUAACCUAAGAUUGACAAUUAAGCUAUUAAAAAUAAUAAAUCAAGAAGGAAGCUAUAGUUCUGUGUCUUCAAUACUUGAAGUAGAAUUAUUUAAAUGUUCUUAGUUUUAUACAUAUUUAUUUAGAAUUAUAGAUAGCCAAAUUAAUAAUCUACUCUUGCAUAAGAAAAGGCUAAUUAAGUUACUGUUUUGUUUUGGUUUUUACUAGAACUUAAGAGGCAAUUGAAAUAAUAAACUAUGUUUCAAGUUCUUUAUUCUUUGCUUUUACUUUGAAGAAAAAACAGGUCAUGUUUCUUUAGAAAUAAAAAUGGUUUUAUAUAAUUGUAGUCAUUAUAUUUCUUUUCUUAAACCAACAGUAUUUACAUAUUUCCCUUUCAUUUUUUCUUUUUCUGUUUUUUAAUAAAAAUAUACAAAUUCACUAUCUUUUUUAAAUAGCUAAAUAAAUCUAAUAUUUCUAAUUGCAAAUGAACAGAAAUUGUACUCCUCAUGGAGUAUGAACACCAGCCGUUCUCUGUAUAUUAUUACAAAUUCACCAUUCUUAAUUAUACUUAUGAUUAUAUAACCAUUAUAGAAUCUUAAUAGCUUACUUAAAAGCUUUUUCUUGUUCAAAUGGGAAACCAAGUCAGCAAAGAAUUUUGCUCUCAGCUGAUUCUGUUAGGGACUGUAAUAAAGGAAGCAGAAUUCUAGGAUCAACCCAAAAAUUGUCACAAGUUAAGACACAAAAGGAGUCAAGACAAGCACUAAAGAAACCAACUCUGAUACUGAAGCAUAAAUCAACAAAAGCUAAGAAGGAAUUAUUGUCCAGACUGGAAAAUGUCAGUGUUCAAAACUGAUGUUACAAGG
This 2150-nucleotide long non-coding RNA is filed under the name Mus musculus (house mouse). Its description in RNAcentral is "long non-coding RNA chr1:150324537-150326687". Lineage: Eukaryota; Metazoa; Chordata; Mammalia; Rodentia; Muridae. The record is from RNAcentral.